This 482-nucleotide ribosomal RNA is filed under the name uncultured bacterium. Its description in RNAcentral is "partial 16S ribosomal RNA". It matches the Rfam family "Bacterial small subunit ribosomal RNA", at positions 28 to 506 of the family's 1533-position model. The record is from RNAcentral.
GACGAACGCUGGCGGCGUGCUUAACACAUGCAAGUCGAACGCUGAAGCUCAGCUUUUGUUGGGUGGAUGAGUGGCGAACGGGUGAGUAACACGUGAGUAACCUGCCUCCUUCUUUGGGAUAACGCCCGGAAACGGGUGCUAAUACUGGAUAUUCACUGGUCUUCGCAUGGGGGUUGGUGGAAAGGGUUUUUCUGGUGGGGGAUGGGCUCGCGGCCUAUCAGCUUGUUGGUGGGGUGAUGGCCUACCAAGGCUUCGACGGGUAGCCGGCCUGAGAGGGUGACCGGUCACAUUGGGACUGAGAUACGGCCCAGACUCCUACGGGAGGCAGCAGUGGGGAAUAUUGCACAAUGGGCGCAAGCCUGAUGCAGCGACGCCGCGUGAGGGAUGGAGGCCUUCGGGUUGUGAACCUCUUUCGCUCAUGGUCAAGCCGCAACAAUGGUCGUGGUGAGGGUAGUGGGUAAAGAAGCGCCGGCUAACUACGU